AGGACGAACGCUGGCGGCGUGCUUAACACAUGCAAGUCGAGCGGAAAGGCCCUUCGGGGUACUCGAGCGGCGAACGGGUGAGUAACACGUGAGCAACCUGCCCUUAGCUUCGGGAUAGCUCCGGAACCGGAAUUAAUACCGAAUAUGACUUUGGUCUGACAUCAGCAGAAGUGGAAAGUUUUCGGUCUAGGGAUGGACUCGCGGCCUAUCAGCUAGUUGGUGAGGUAACGGCCCACCAAGGCGACGACGGGUA
RNAcentral lists this ribosomal RNA (253 nucleotides) under uncultured bacterium. RNAcentral's name for it is "partial small subunit ribosomal RNA". It matches the Rfam family "Bacterial small subunit ribosomal RNA", at positions 26 to 285 of the family's 1533-position model. The record is from RNAcentral.